CCUUCCUGCACACUUCUUGAUUUUUCUCAUUUUGCCCCACUUGAGUAACUCAGUAUCUCUCUAAACCCACGCCCUACCCCCACAAAGAAUAAAGAAUCCACUCAGAGAUCCAUUGGUGACACGUGGGGACUUCACUGAAGGUUUGCCAGAAGCAGAGAUGAUCACCGAGGAGCAUCUCCCUUGGACACUCUGCUUCCCAAAGUCCUUU
Molecule: long non-coding RNA, 208 nt
Filed under: Bos taurus (domestic cattle)
Lineage: Eukaryota; Metazoa; Chordata; Mammalia; Artiodactyla; Bovidae
Description: long non-coding RNA NONBTAT023779
Source: RNAcentral